AUACGUAGGGGGCAAGCGUUAUCCGGAUUUACUGGGUGUAAAGGGAGCGUAGGCGGUUCUGUAAGCGUGAGGUGAAAGCCCGGGGCUUAACUCCGGUAAGCCUUUCGAACUGCAGGACUUGAGUGCUGGAGGGGAAAGUGGAAUUCCUAGGGUAGCGGGGAAAUGCGUAGAUAUUAGGAGGAACACCAGUGGCGAAGGCGACUUUCUGGACAGUAACUGACGCUGAGGUACGAAAGCGUGGGGAGCAAACAGGAUUAGAUACCCUGGUAGUCCACGCUGUAAACGAUGAGCACUAGGUGUCGGGCUAGCAAUAGUUCGGUGCCGCAGUUAACGCAAUAAGUGCUCCGCCUGGGGAGUACGCACGCAAGUGUGAAACUCAAAGGAAUUGACGGGG
This 394-nucleotide ribosomal RNA is filed under the name uncultured bacterium. RNAcentral describes it as "partial 16S ribosomal RNA". It matches the Rfam family "Bacterial small subunit ribosomal RNA", at positions 523 to 918 of the family's 1533-position model. The record is from RNAcentral.